AUGGUAGUUUGCAAUGGCCGUAAGCACCGCCUUGACGAGGACAAUACGACCAGGGGCGGCCACCAUUUUCUGAAUAGAAGCGAGCUGCUCCGCUCGGACUGCACCGGGCUGGUGUCGUCGAUAAGCUACAGCGAUGCAAUGGGGCCAGCAAUGCUGCUGGGCGUGCUGGAGCUCGAUUGGUGGGUGCCGGGGCGGUGCCGCUGCUCACCCGGAGCAAAUUGCACCCAGUUCAGCGCGCCGACCACGGGUCAGGAGGCGUUCCGGUGCGAAUGCCAGGAUGGGCUCGAGGGCGACGGCUUCAUCUACGGCACGGGUUGCCGGUUGACAGGCACAGCGUCCAGCCGCCAACAACGAGUGCCGUUCGGGGUCUUCGCCGCGGUUACCGCCAUCGCCGUGGUGCUACUUGUUCUCAGCAUAUCGGCUUGCCUCAUCUUCCGCCGCGGCCCAAGGCGAAAUACCAUGACGAAAACCAAACAACCGCUGAAAGCGGUGGCUGCACUCUUCCGCGGCGAACUCGUGGACGACGAGCUCGACCAAGGAGCUGCCGGACCCCGGCGAUUUUCAUACGACGACCUCGCUGCUGCAACUGGUAACUUCUCCCGUUCUCCGACGACAGGGCGCUCGGAAGGGGAUGCUUUGGGUCAGUUUACCAAGGGUUCCUGA
Molecule: ribosomal RNA, 663 nt
Filed under: Triticum aestivum (bread wheat)
Lineage: Eukaryota; Viridiplantae; Streptophyta; Magnoliopsida; Poales; Poaceae
Description: partial small subunit ribosomal RNA
Source: RNAcentral